RNAcentral lists this ribosomal RNA (395 nucleotides) under uncultured bacterium. RNAcentral's name for it is "partial 16S ribosomal RNA". It matches the Rfam family "Bacterial small subunit ribosomal RNA", at positions 360 to 773 of the family's 1533-position model. The record is from RNAcentral.
AAUAUUGCACAAUGGAGGAAACUCUGAUGCAGCGACGCCGCGUGAACGAUGAAGGCUUUCGAGUCGUAAAGUUCUGUCCUUGGGGACGAUAAUGACGGUACCCAUGGAGGAAGCCCCGGCUAACUACGUGCCAGCAGCCGCGGUAAUACGUAGGGGGCGAGCGUUGUCCGGAAUUAUUGGGCGUAAAGGGUUCGCAGGCGGCCUAAUAAGUCAGAUGUGAAAGCCAACGGCUCAACCGUUGCAAGCAUUUGAAGCUGUAAGGCUUGAGUUAAGGAGAGGAAAGUGGAAUUCCUAGUGUAGCGGUGAAAUGCGUAGAUAUUAGGAGGAAUACCAGUGGCGAAGGCGACUUUCUGGACUUAUACUGACGCUGAGGAACGAAAGCGUGGGGAGCAAAC